AUGGCGCCGCCCGGGUCGCGACGGUGGGCGUACGUGCGGAUCAUGGCCGGCACCAUCGUCGGCGGCUGCCUCGGCUUCUACGUCAUGCUCCGCAUCGAGACCUCCUACAAGGUACGACAACUCCCAUCGCACCAACCUGUCAUGAUCUAUGGACCAUUUGGUCGAAGCCGCGGUGCUUACUCCCGCUUUUCUUUGUCGUGUGCAGGUGAGGAUGGAGGAGAGGCUGCAUUGAUGGCAAGCUGGAGUGCCUCUACCAUGGCUGGCAGUUGGACGACCAGGGCAAGUGCGUCAAGAUCCCACAGGUCCCACCAUUCCACACUUCUUUCUAAUCAAGUUCAGUCAUGGAUCUGUACAAACGCAUGA
Molecule: ribosomal RNA, 363 nt
Filed under: Triticum aestivum (bread wheat)
Lineage: Eukaryota; Viridiplantae; Streptophyta; Magnoliopsida; Poales; Poaceae
Description: partial small subunit ribosomal RNA
Source: RNAcentral